This 981-nucleotide non-coding RNA is filed under the name Pongo abelii (Sumatran orangutan). The record is from RNAcentral. Lineage: Eukaryota; Metazoa; Chordata; Mammalia; Primates; Hominidae.
GGAUACGGCUGUAGAGCGGCCGGCUGGGAUCGUAGAUAGGAGCGGUGGAUUUGCAAGGCCUAGAAUAGCUGGGGAGUGGUUUCCCCGCGGAAUCGGCCUCCCUGCCGCGCCUGCUUUGUACUGUGACGCUCAGCCUGUGAUGACUGGUGUGGAAUCCGCUGAACCACCUUGGCCUAAGGAGACUUUGCCACUCUGAGAUUGUAAAUCUGUAAAAUAGAGAUGUAGGAUUAGCCCAUAGGGUAGUUGUGGUAAAUACUGUGAGACAAUACGGGGCCUGGGACACAGCAUUCAAAUGGGAAUAAUGAAGGUCAAGACUGUGAUUCCUGUAUCUUUGACGCUGUCGGUAUAAGCACCGUCGUGGGCACAGGGCAGUGGCCUUUAUGUAGGAGUUUAAGAGGGAAGGAAGGAAUGAAUGGGCAAACUCUAGAGUUCCCAAGUAUUCUUUCCAGGAGCUGUUUCCAUUCUUUUCGUUUCCAGCAGAUUCAAGAGGCAAUUGUUGGAGUGUAAAAAGAGCACGGGACUUGGAGUCAAAUACUUAAGUCUACCAUCAAGUAGUUGUUAAGAAUUAAACAACAAUUUUUGUGUACCCAGUUAAAUGUGGGCUGCUUAGGAAUGAUGACUGUGUCUUAAUGAUCUCUGUAUUCCUAGUGACAUGUAGAAUCAUUGUGCCUGACACAUAGUAUGUACUCAGGAAAGAAAUAGAAAAUGUGGUUUUAGCAUUGAAGGCCAGGAGAGAGGGUCUAACAGACUACAAGCCCCACCAGGAGCAGAGUAAGGGAAACAAAGGAGAAAAAAGUGUUUUUAGUCUGUACUGAAUGUAUUUACACUGUUUGUAGCCCAAAAGCCAAAAGCGUACAUAAGCUUGGCUUUUCUGUAGCUAUGUUUAUGGCUUUACAGCAGAUUUUAUGGAGCUGCAAUUACUUUGAUCAUGAGGGACUGAUGCUAGUGGAUUUACAUCACCAAAUGGAACUCACUCUGUGG